Molecule: ribosomal RNA, 1067 nt
Filed under: Bacillus sp. SN10
Lineage: Bacteria; Bacillati; Bacillota; Bacilli; Caryophanales; Bacillaceae
Description: bacterial LSU rRNA
Rfam family: Bacterial large subunit ribosomal RNA
Source: RNAcentral
GGCUAAAUACUCCCUAGUGAUCGAUAGUGAACCAGUACCGUGAGGGAAAGGUGAAAAGCACCCCGGAAGGGGAGUGAAAGAGAUCCUGAAACCGUGUGCCUACAAAUAGUCAGAGCCCGUUAACGGGUGAUGGCGUGCCUUUUGUAGAAUGAACCGGCGAGUUACGAUCCCGUGCGAGGUUAAGCUGAAGAGGCGGAGCCGCAGCGAAAGCGAGUCUGAAUAGGGCGUUUAGUACGUGGUCGUAGACCCGAAACCAGGUGAUCUACCCAUGUCCAGGGUGAAGUUCAGGUAACACUGAAUGGAGGCCCGAACCCACGCACGUUGAAAAGUGCGGGGAUGAGGUGUGGGUAGCGGAGAAAUUCCAAUCGAACCUGGAGAUAGCUGGUUCUCCCCGAAAUAGCUUUAGGGCUAGCCUUAAGUGUAAGAGUCUUGGAGGUAGAGCACUGAUUGGACUAGGGGUCCUCAUCGGAUUACCGAAUUCAGUCAAACUCCGAAUGCCAAUGACUUAUCCUUAGGAGUCAGACUGCGAGUGAUAAGAUCCGUAGUCAAAAGGGAAACAGCCCAGACCGCCAGCUAAGGUCCCAAAGUGUGUAUUAAGUGGAAAAGGAUGUGGAGUUGCUUAGACAACUAGGAUGUUGGCUUAGAAGCAGCCACCAUUUAAAGAGUGCGUAAUAGCUCACUAGUCGAGUGACUCUGCGCCGAAAAUGUACCGGGGCUAAAUACACCACCGAAGCUGCGGAUUGAUACCGAAUGGUAUCAGUGGUAGGGGAGCGUUCUAAGGACAGUGAAGUCAGACCGGAAGGACUGGUGGAGUGCUUAGAAGUGAGAAUGCCGGUAUGAGUAGCGAAAGACGGGUGAGAAUCCCGUCCACCGAAUGCCUAAGGUUUCCUGAGGAAGGCUCGUCCGCUCAGGGUUAGUCAGGACCUAAGCCGAGGCCGACAGGCGUAGGCGAUGGACAACAGGUUGAUAUUCCUGUACCACCUCUUUAUCGUUUGAGCAAUGGAGGGACGCAGAAGGAUAGAAGAAGCGUGCGAUUGGUUGUGCACGUCCAAGCAGUUAGGCUGGUA